CACAGAGAAGGAGGCUUGUUGUGAAACUGAGUCAGAAGGAUGCUCUUAUAGCAGACUUUCAAGACAACCCUUAGCCCGGGAUAACAACCAGAGGAUGACUGGCCUGAGAACUUGGUAUUCCAGAAAGCAGAAUUCAGGUACACAAGAGAUCAUGAUUCCCUUGAUUCCUCCUCACCCUUUUCACACUCUCUACCUCUUUCUCCCACUCCCUCUCAGCUUCUCUCUCUCUCUCUCUCUCUCUCUCUCUCUCUCCCCCUCUCUCUCUCCCUCUCCCCCUCCCUCCCUCCCUCCCUCUCUCUCUCUCUCGGUGCCCAGGGGCAGAGACAACAAUCCGGCCUAAGCAAUCUGGACUCAAGUUGGUAGGGUCAGUAUUUUGGCGGCCAGGGCUUAAUCUGGUUGUGUCAUUGUUUGAAGACUGUCAUUCUCAAGAAUCACACAAACCCUGACAGGACUGGAAGGUCGGUCUUAGGGAAAAUGCCUGAAGUUAGGAUUUACCCAUGGGGCCCAUAUUUUACCCAGUAAGCCAUGUGCUAGAAACGUUUCAAUUGGGAGGACACGCUAGGUGGAGUACCUAUGUCUCUGUCUUGGGGUAUGGCUCCUGGGUGCUCCAGACAGCACGAACUCACAUCCAAGGCAGGAAGAGGCAUCCCUUCAGAGAAUGUGGCCAGAGGGAACUGAGUGGCUGGAGGCCCGCAUGAACAGGUGGUCAGGAAGGAAGGGUCUGGAGACCAGGGAGCAUGAGAGGCUGGCUGGUCCACGGAGUUGGCCCUUGAUGGCUCAGGAUGGCCUCCAGUGAAUCACCUGUGAGUGAGGUCUUCUUUUCUGCUCAGGGUGGAGGGGAACAAGUCAAUGGAGGAAGAGAGUUAGCUUUGGGAUGAAAGGCCCAAGGCCAUGCGUGAGGGCCAGGAAGACUGGUGGUCUUUCCCUAGCAAAACGUCUUCUUGGUUUCACGACAGUUUCUACAGGCACCUUUCAGAAACAUCUACAAAAAGAAACACACUAGUGCCUAUGGGCACUCACAGAGACACACGAGGCCAGGUCCACCACACUCACUGCAGUUCGGUCUUGGGUCGUGAGGCAGCAAAGCACGGGUUCAGUGUGGGAGGAAAGAACAUGUAUUUCAAAGAUUUCCAAGACAGGGAUCAGAUCCAUUAGAGUCUCCUGACCUGGUAGUAACAGGGACGUGUCCUCCCUCUGAAGGCUCAGGAAAGGAGAAGUUGCCAGGCAAGAUGGGAUUUUUAUUAUGGCCAUCUGGGUUGAAGAGAUGCUGAGAGAGGGCAUAUUGCAGUGGAUUGUUGUGCAUUCUGAAACAGUCCUGUCCCCCUUAGAGACCUGAGAGGCAAGGAACCUUCAUCAGGCAGCAGCCACAGCAAAGAGGAGGAGAGAUCGAGUGAGCAGGAGACAGAGCAGUGACAGAGAGGGGCAGGGAGGCGGCAACACAGACACAGGCAUCAACAGGUAGAUGGAGAGAAUCAGAGCCAGAGACAGAAAGACCGACAGAGAAUCUGGCAGGAUGGAUGGGAAGGGUGACGAUGAAGAAAAUAAGCGGGGGGAGGAAGAAGGGGAGAAAAACUAUUAGCGAUCUCCUGCGUACAUUGGGAAUGCAAACAUUGUCUCCUCUUCUGUCAUCAUUGGUCUUGAGUUUUGACACCAGGAAGGGGACUAACAAAAGGAACGAUUAUCUUCACGGAGGCGGCUUGUAUAUUCUGGAACUGUACCUUCUAUGGGGAGACCCGGCCCUUGGGUUCAUAGCUUGUUCCCCUGGGGGCUGAAUGGCCUUGGGUCAUAAGGGAAGUUUGUGAUACUUCCAUCAGGCGUGGUUCGCCCUAGCUCGCUAUGUGCUGCUUCUCCCCGUUUUUGAAAAGAAGGCAUCUUCAUGCCACAUCAGGCUUCGCCUCAAAGGAGAACACGUUUGGAGUGCCUUUCAAGUGAUGCAAACUCCCUGUACCAAACCAGUGCACAGAGUUCAUUGGGCAGCACUUUGGCUUGUUUUCCUAGGUAUAGGACAGGACUAGAUGGGAAAAAGGCAAGGUUUGGUCUCCGAAGUAAACCCGCACUGGGGCUGGUGUUCACUCACUGAAUAGGAUACACUUUGCAAGGAGAAACGUUGCACAUUCAUCUUUUGUGGAGUUUGUGAGAUUUCCGUCCGGCGUGGAUUGCCCUAGGUCACUGUGUGCUGCUUUUCCCCGCUUGUGAAAAGAAGGCGUUUUCAUGCCACAUCAGGCUUCUCCUCAAAGGAGAACACGUUUGGAGUGCCUUUCAAGCGAUGCAAACUCCCUGCACCAAACCAGUGCACAGAGAGCACUGGGUGGCACCUUGGCUCCUUUGCCCUAUGUAUAGGAGUGGCCUAGGUGGGAAAGAGGCAAGGGUUGCUUUCCCGAGCAAACCCGCACUGGGGCUGGUGUUCGUUCACUGAGACAGGAACUCCUGCGUGUUACAGCUCUUAAAGUC
RNAcentral lists this long non-coding RNA (2451 nucleotides) under Sus scrofa (pig). RNAcentral describes it as "lncRNA (ENSSSCG00035014468.1)". Lineage: Eukaryota; Metazoa; Chordata; Mammalia; Artiodactyla; Suidae. The record is from RNAcentral.